UGGCGAACGGGUGAGUAACACGUGAGCAACCUGCCCCUGACUCUGGGAUAAGCGCUGGAAACGGCGUCUAAUACUGGAUAUGUGACGUGACCGCAUGGUCUGCGUUUGGAAAGAUUUUUCGAAAUGGGAACUUCCUCGCGGCCUAUCAGCUUGUUGGUGAGGUAAUGGCUCACCAAGGCGUCGACGGGUAGCCGGCCUGAGAGGGUGACCGGCCACACUGGGACUGAGACACGGCCCAGACUCCUACGGGAGGCAGCAGUGGGGAAUAUUGCACAAUGGGCGGAAGCCUGAUGCAGCAACGCCGCGUGAGGGAUGACGGCCUUCGGGUUGUAAACCUCUUUUAGCAGGGAAGAAGCGAAAGUGACGGUACCUGCAGAAAAAGCGCCGGCUAACUACGUGCCAGCAGCCGCGGUAAUACGUAGGGCGCAAGCGUUAUCCGGAAUUAUUGGGCGUAAAGAGCUCGUAGGCGGUUUGUCGCGUCUGCUGUGAAAUCCCGAGGCUCAACCUCGGGCCUGCAGUGGGUACGGGCAGACUAGAGUGCGGUAGGGGGAGAUUGGAAUUCCUGGUGUAGCGGUGGAAUGCGCAGAUAUCAGGAGGAACACCGAUGGCGAAGGCAGAUCUCUGGGCCGUAACUGACGCUGAGGAGCGAAAGGGUGGGGAGCAAACAGGCUUAGAUACCCUGGUAGUCCACCCCGUAAACGUUGGGAACUAGUUGUGGGGUCCAUUCCACGGAUUCCGUGACGCAGCUAACGCAUUAAGUUCCCCGCCUGGGGAGUACGGCCGCCAAGGCUAAAACUCAAAGGAAUUGACGGGGACCCGCACAAGCGGCGGAGCAUGCGGAUUAAUUCGAUGCAACGCGGAGAACCUUACCAAGGCUUGACAUAUACGAGAACGGGCCAGAAAUGGUCAACUCUUUGGACACUCGUAAACAGGUGGUGCAUGGUUGUCGUCAGCUCGUGUCGUGAGAUGUUGGGUUAAGUCCCGCAACGAGCGCAACCCUCGUUCUAUGUUGCCAGCACGUAAUGGUGGGAACUCAUGGGAUACUGCCGGGGUCAACUCGGAGGAAGGUGGGGAUGACGUCAAAUCAUCAUGCCCCUUAUGUCUUGGGCUUCACGCAUGCUACAAUGGCCGGUACAAAGGGCUGCAAUACCGUGAGGUGGAGCGAAUCCCAAAAAGCCGGUCCCAGUUCGGAUUGAGGUCUGCAACUCGACCUCAUGAAGUCGGAGUCGCUAGUAAUCGCAGAUCAGCAACGCUGCGGUGAAUACGUUCCCGGGUCUUGUACACACCGCCCGUCAAGUCAUGAAAGUCGGUAACACCUGAAGCCGGUGGCCUAACCCUUGUGGA
This 1344-nucleotide ribosomal RNA is filed under the name Microbacterium oxydans. RNAcentral describes it as "16S ribosomal RNA". It matches the Rfam family "Bacterial small subunit ribosomal RNA", at positions 96 to 1447 of the family's 1533-position model. The record is from RNAcentral. Lineage: Bacteria; Bacillati; Actinomycetota; Actinomycetes; Micrococcales; Microbacteriaceae.